AUACGGAGGGUGCAAGCGUUGUCCGGAGUUAUUGGGUUUAAAGGGUGUGUAGGCGGUGUAUUAAGUCAGUGGUGAAAGCCUGCGGCUCAACCGUAGAACUGCCAUUGAUACUGAUACACUUGAGUAUGGACGAGGUAGGCGGAAUUUAUGGUGUAGCGGUGAAAUGCAUAGAUACCAUAAAGAACACCGAUAGCGAAGGCAGCUUACUAGGCCAUAACUGACGCUGAGGCACGAAAGCGUGGGGAGCGAACAGGAUUAGAAACCCCAGUAGUCC
This 274-nucleotide ribosomal RNA is filed under the name uncultured bacterium. Its description in RNAcentral is "partial 16S ribosomal RNA". It matches the Rfam family "Bacterial small subunit ribosomal RNA", at positions 523 to 796 of the family's 1533-position model. The record is from RNAcentral.